GUACGUUCUCGGGGCCGGGGUGAAAAUCCCCACCGGCGGUGAGUCCCACGCAAGUGAGACCGAGCCCGCGAGCGCUCAUCGAGAGGUGAGGACAGCAGAUCCGGUGUGAAUCCGGAGCCGACGGUCAUAGUCCGGAUGCGAGAGAACAAGG
RNAcentral lists this non-coding RNA (151 nucleotides) under Gordonia sputi. Its description in RNAcentral is "Gordonia sp. FMN sequence". It matches the Rfam family "FMN riboswitch aptamer (RFN element)". Rfam says of the family: The RFN element is a highly conserved domain that is found frequently in the 5'-untranslated regions of prokaryotic mRNAs that encode for flavin mononucleotide (FMN) biosynthesis and transport proteins. This element is a metabolite-dependent riboswitch that directly binds FMN in the absence of proteins. The record is from RNAcentral. Lineage: Bacteria; Bacillati; Actinomycetota; Actinomycetes; Mycobacteriales; Gordoniaceae.